AUUUUUUUUACUUUAUUUCCUUCACUUCAUUUCCUUUUUUUCCUUGUAUAAGUGAAAUAUAUCCUCUUUUACAACUUGAAAAACAUGGAGAUAUGUAUUACAUGAUAGCACAUAUAUAACAUAUCAUAUUAUCUGCAAUAUUGGGGAUGGAGGAGUAGAGAGAAGGAGGGAAAGAAUAUUGUAAUAAAAUGGAUAAUCUGAGUGGAACUAAUUCUGGUCCUUGUGAAUGGAUAUACUCUGGCUGACUAGAGAGAUGCUAAGGGGAACCUUCAGGAUGCCUAUUUGUUAUGGAGAUAGAAGUACUUCUGAGACAUGGAGAGAUAGAGAGAUGCUGCUAGAGGGGUUGUUCUGGGCUGCCUAUUGAUCCCUAUUAAUGGCUAAUAAAUCAAACUAUUUCCUACUGUCUACCCUUCACCUCCCAGUUUUCCACCCAAAGCUCUCUUGCCACCCUUUCCCUUCCCCCGGUCUUAGUCAGUUACCUUUCUAUAUAACUUAAAGGUGAACUGUGAGAUUUAGAGAAGAUACUCUUGUUCUCUUUCUCAGGUAAGGAGGUUUAUUGGGAAAGAUAAGACAGGAUGGAAAUUGAAGUGAGAGGAAUGAGGGGGUCCCUAAUCUCUAAGGAGAAUUAGGAGGGCUUGGGAAAUGUCAGUCUAGUUACAACUGUGACUCAGAGAGUGUCAGAGAUAUGGAGGACAGUUGUUAAAUCUUCCUUCUUCAGUCAGAUAAUCUCUGCUUGAAUAAUUCAAGUCCAGACUCUGUCAAAAACCACAAAGGUCUCUCUCUCUCUCUCUGUCUAGGUCAGGAAAAGCCAGUCUCUCUUGGUCAGGAACUCCAGAGAAGAGGUUUUUCCCUUGGUCAGUAACCCCCAGAGAAGAAAUCUCAAUUCAUCUCCCCUGGCCAGCUCCAACUGACUCUUCUGGGAACAUUCCAUUUGGAAUCUUCACUUUGAUUGACAGAUCAGGUCCCCAGCUUUGUUUCUUGCAUGCUUGGCUUGGCUUGGUGAAAUACAAAGUAGGAGAUACAAAUCAAGGAGUAUCUACGAUGUCUCUUCAGACAAAGAUCAAAGAACUGGACAAGGUAUUAUUUCUGCACCUUAUACCAGGUGCUUUCCAUCUCAUUCUAUUCAUCCUUUUUCCUACUUUGCCCUUUGAAAGGGCACAGCUGGAGGGAGUCAGGUAAUAGCUGACAGUCUUGAUGAGCACACAGGUGCACUCCACAAUGUCUGCUUUAAGUGGCACUGCCUGAUAUUCUGGACAUUUUUGUUUACAAUAAUGGUAUAUUAAAGGUAAAACAUGUAAUACUGAUAUGAGAAGCAAAGUCUAUUUUUAAUAAGAUGGUUCUAAAAAUAUUACAUGCCAUAGCGCAAUUGUUAGAUAUGAUAUAGGCUUGUGUAGUGUCAGUUUGGAUGAAGUAAAAGAAUUAGAAUCAGGAGAAUCUGAGUUCAAAUCCCA
RNAcentral lists this long non-coding RNA (1451 nucleotides) under Monodelphis domestica (gray short-tailed opossum). Its description in RNAcentral is "lncRNA (ENSMODG00000030476.2)". The record is from RNAcentral. Lineage: Eukaryota; Metazoa; Chordata; Mammalia; Didelphimorphia; Didelphidae.